This 505-nucleotide ribosomal RNA is filed under the name uncultured bacterium. RNAcentral's name for it is "partial 16S ribosomal RNA". It matches the Rfam family "Bacterial small subunit ribosomal RNA", at positions 28 to 507 of the family's 1533-position model. The record is from RNAcentral.
GACGAACGCUGGCGGCGUGCCUAAUACAUGCAAGUAGAACGCACAGUUUAUACCGUAGCUUGCUACACCAUAAACUGUGAGUUGCGAACGGGUGGGUAACGCGUAGGUAACCUGCCUGGUAGCGGGGGAUAACUAUUGGAAACGAUAGCUAAUACCGCAUAAUAUUAAUUAUUGCAUGAUAAUUGAUUGAAAGAUGCAAUUGCAUCACUACCAGAUGGACCUGCGUUGUAUUAGCUAGUAGGUGAGGUAACGGCUCACCUAGGCGACGAUACAUAGCCGACCUGGGAGGGUGAUCGGCCACACUGGGACUGAGACACGGCCCAGACUCCUACGGGAGGCAGCAGUAGGGAAUCUUCGGCAAUGGACGAAAGUCUGACCGAGCAACGCCGCGUGAGUGAAGAAGGUUUUCGGAUCGUAAAGCUCUGUUGUAAGAGAAGAACGGGUGUGAGAGUGGAAAGUUCACACUGUGACGGUAUCUUACCAGAAAGGGACGGCUAACUACGUG